Molecule: ribosomal RNA, 253 nt
Filed under: uncultured bacterium
Lineage: Bacteria
Also listed under: 1 other name
Description: partial 16S ribosomal RNA
Rfam family: Bacterial small subunit ribosomal RNA
Source: RNAcentral
UACGUAGGGGGCAAGCGUUAUCCGGAUUUACUGGGUGUAAAGGGAGCGUAGACGGCACAGCAAGUCUGAUGUGAAAGCCCGGGGCCCAACCCCGGAACUGCAUUGGAAACUGCUGGGCUUGAGUGCAGGAGAGGUAAGCGGAAUUCCUAGUGUAGCGGUGAAAUGCGUAGAUAUUAGGAGGAACACCAGUGGCGAAGGCGGCUUACUGGACUGUAACUGACGUUGAGGCUCGAAAGCGUGGGGAGCAAACAGG